GAUGAACGCUGGCGGCGUGCCUAAUACAUGCAAGUCGAGCGAACGGACGGGAAGCUUGCUUCUCUGAUGUUAGCGGCGGACGGGUGAGUAACACGUGGAUAACCUACCUAUAAGACUGGGAUAACUUCGGGAAACCGGAGCUAAUACCGGAUAAUAUUUUGAACCGCAUGGUUCAAAAGUGAAAGACGGUCUUGCUGUCACUUAUAGAUGGAUCCGCGCUGCAUUAGCUAGUUGGUAAGGUAACGGCUUACCAAGGCAACGAUGCAUAGCCGACCUGAGAGGGUGAUCGGCCACACUGGAACUGAGACACGGUCCAGACUCCUACGGGAGGCAGCAGUAGGGGAUCUUCCGCAAUGGGCGAAAGCCUGACGGAGCAACGCCGCGUGAGUGAUGAAGGUCUUCGGAUCGUAAAACUCUGUUAUUAGGGAAGAACAUAUGUGUAAGUAACUGUGCACAUCUUGACGGUACCUAAUCAGAAAGCCACGGCUAACUACGUG
RNAcentral lists this ribosomal RNA (497 nucleotides) under uncultured bacterium. RNAcentral describes it as "partial 16S ribosomal RNA". It matches the Rfam family "Bacterial small subunit ribosomal RNA", at positions 28 to 507 of the family's 1533-position model. The record is from RNAcentral.